GACGAACGCUGGCGGCGUGCCUAAUACAUGCAAGUAGAACGCUGAAGAGAGGAGCUUGCUCUUCUUGGAUGAGUUGCGAACGGGUGAGUAACGCGUAGGUAACCCGCCUUGUAGCGGGGGAUAACUAUUGGAAACGAUAGCUAAUACCGCAUAACAAUGGAUGACACAUGUCAUUUAUUUGAAAGGGGCAAUUGCUCCACUACAAGAUGGACCUGCGUUGUAUUAGCUAGUAGGUGAGGUAACGGCUCACCUAGGCGACGAUACAUAGCCGACCUGAGAGGGUGAUCGGCCACACUGGGACUGAGACACGGCCCAGACUCCUACGGGAGGCAGCAGUAGGGAAUCUUCGGCAAUGGGGGCAACCCUGACCGAGCAACGCCGCGUGAGUGAAGAAGGUUUUCGGAUCGUAAAGCUCUGUUGUAAGUCAAGAACGAGUGUGAGAGUGGAAAGUUCACACUGUGACGGUAGCUUACCAGAAAGGGACGGCUAACUACGUGCCAGCAGCCGCGGUAAUACGUAGGUCCCGAGCGUUGUCCGGAUUUAUUGGGCGUAAAGCGAGCGCAGGCGGUUUGAUAAGUCUGAAGUUAAAGGCUGUGGCUCAACCAUAGUUCGCUUUGGAAACUGUCAAACUUGAGUGCAGAAGGGGAGAGUGGAAUUCCAUGUGUAGCGGUGAAAUGCGUAGAUAUAUGGAGGAACACCGGUGGCGAAAGCGGCUCUCUGGUCUGUAACUGACGCUGAGGCUCGAAAGCGUGGGGAGCGAACAGGAUUAGAUACCCUGGUAGUCCACGCCGUAAACGAUGAGUGCUAGGUGUUGGAUCCUUUCCGGGAUUCAGUGCCGCAGCUAACGCAUUAAGCACUCCGCCUGGGGAGUACGACCGCAAGGUUGAAACUCAAAGGAAUUGACGGGGGCCCGCACAAGCGGUGGAGCAUGUGGUUUAAUUCGAAGCAACGCGAAGAACCUUACCAGGUCUUGACAUCCCGAUGCUAUUUCUAGAGAUAGAAAGUUACUUCGGUACAUCGGUGACAGGUGGUGCAUGGUUGUCGUCAGCUCGUGUCGUGAGAUGUUGGGUUAAGUCCCGCAACGAGCGCAACCCCUAUUGUUAGUUGCCAUCAUUCAGUUGGGCACUCUAGCGAGACUGCCGGUAAUAAACCGGAGGAAGGUGGGGAUGACGUCAAAUCAUCAUGCCCCUUAUGACCUGGGCUACACACGUGCUACAAUGGUUGGUACAACGAGUUGCGAGUCGGUGACGGCAAGCUAAUCUCUUAAAGCCAAUCUCAGUUCGGAUUGUAGGCUGCAACUCGCCUACAUGAAGUCGGAAUCGCUAGUAAUCGCGGAUCAGCACGCCGCGGUGAAUACGUUCCCGGGCCU
RNAcentral lists this ribosomal RNA (1369 nucleotides) under uncultured bacterium. RNAcentral's name for it is "bacterial SSU rRNA". It matches the Rfam family "Bacterial small subunit ribosomal RNA", at positions 28 to 1381 of the family's 1533-position model. The record is from RNAcentral.